UCUUUAAACUUAAUAAUUUGUUUCUCAAACUGUUUACCAAGAGAAUAAGGCCCCAAGAAUGAUUGUGAAUCUUUGCAAAAGUGAAUGCUUAGAAUUUAAAAAAAUAAUUUAGAGUGAAUUAAAUGGGAAAUCUGUAUCAUUUUUUUUUAUCAUAACACAGUGUUAAGUUACAUGUAAUUGUUUAUUGUAAGGUUGAUUGUAAGUUUCCAUUAUAAUCAGAUCAUGAUUUAAGUAUGGCCCUGCUGAGUCUGGUUCUUAUAUCAAUACUACAACUUCCAUCAAUAUGCCAUGUAAAUAGAUACCACUUGUUAUAUGAUCAAAUAUAAGUGCCACAUUACCUGUCCUCAAGUAUUUUAUUUAUAUCUGUAUUUUGCUUUUAUCUUAAGUUAUACAGUCAAACCAAAUCUCUGUUAUUAGUACAUUUGUACUGUUUGGUAUUGCAGCCAUUAAUAUACUUUAUAUUUUGUAUCCUCAGCAUUUAUUACUAGUUAAAAUGAAUGUUUAAAUUUCGUUUGCAUUGUUAGAAAGUACAUCAAGGAAAUAGUUGACUGUGCACUGUCCUAAGGCCUUAUUAUCUGAAGUCCCCAAGCUCAUUCUCAGAUUCAGCCUAAUAUCUGUGUGUUUAUCAAAAUUUAAAGGAACAUGAUUUUAAAAAAAAAGAAAAUUUUUUGCAGAGUGGACUCUUUGAUAAUUGUAAUUGUUCACAGAAAUGGAAAAUCAAAUAAGCUGUUAAAAUGCUUGAUGUGCAAAUCCCUGAUGUUCAUGAAAUAAAUGUUUUAUAUAAACAAAGAACUACUGAUGAUACUCCAAUCAUACUUGUAAUACUGUGGAUUUUUUUAAUUUCGUGAAUACCAAUUUUUGUGGGAAAAGGAAAAUUUUAUUUUUCAUGGAUAUUGAUUUUGUGGUUUUUACAAAAUUCUACAUAAAGGCAUAAGACAAUUUGCACUUGGCCAAUGUUCACCUGUACCAAUGAGAUCCAUGAGAAUAGUUAUCUCAAGAAUAAUAAUAGAAUCCAAAGUAAUUAAACUCAAUUGUAAGUUGAAAAUGUGUAUUAAAGUACUUGAUCAUUUUCUGUUGGUUCAAUUUGUAUUUCAAUGGUACUACUUACCAACAGUAAUGACUUCUACAAAUUAUAAUUUUAACUGAUUAAUAGAGUGCUUUAGAAAAAAGUUAAAAAUCUUGUAAAUAUAUUGAUAACAACACUAACAAAGCAUAAGUAACUAUAUUAAGUGUCUGAUCAAUCAAUACACAUAGCUUACUAAAAUAAAUUUAUGUUUGUAUUUAAAAACGAGGGAUACAUAACAUUGCAAUGUUUAUUUAAUAAAAUCCUAAAAUUCCCCUUUGAUAAAGGUUCUAUGAUUUGCAUAAUUCAAUUCUGUCUUUAUACCCUGUUUGUAAACUUUAUUCUAGCACAGCUUGAAAUACCUUUUGUAAUUUUUAACCUGAAAGUUUAAUGAAUUCUUGUGGUGUAAUAGACUUAAGAUAUGGUGCCGUGACCAGGACUUUGUAUGCUGAUACUUACAAAUCAUCUGGGAAACUGUUAUAUUUAUGAAAUUAACACAGAAAAAAUAUAUUAUGAGUGGCUUUGUACUAAUUUCUUAUUUUGAAUAGUAUUUUGGUGCUAAAACAGAUUUGUUGCAGAUGCUUUUAUAAAGUGAUGAGUCAUAAAUGUGUUGACUACUAGUAAACAUUUGAGGAUUCUUUAUGCAGAAAUAACAAUAUAUAUAUACAAAUAGGUCAUUGAUAAUAGUGUGGGUAGUUUGUUAAAUAUGGUAUUGAUGAAUACCAAUGUGAUUAGUCAGUUAGACAAGAUAUUUAACUUUUUAAAUGACUGUAUUUUCAAAUGAAUAAGAAUGAAAAAUUUAAUAAUACACAUUAAUUGUAACAACCUUUGUUUGUCUCUUUAUUACUAAGAACUCUUGAAAUAGAUGAUUGUUACUUUUCUCAACAACAAUAUUUGUCUUUUGUUUAUACCAAAUCCUCUGACAGCAUACUGAACAUUAACUGUAAUUUUGCUAAAAUUUAAGAGGUUGCUAAUCAGACAGAUGAGGCUGACGUUAUGUGGUUUUUGAUGUUAUUAUUAUUUGUCAUUUAAAACUUCACAAAUAAAGGCCACAGUAGUAUACCUCUGUUCAAAAAUCAUAAAUCAAUGUGAGAGAAAACAAAUCAGAGUUACAAACUAAAACUGAGGAAAACACAUCAACUAUAAGAGGAAAACAAUAGAACAAAAGAAGCGCUGAACUGCAAC
This 2248-nucleotide long non-coding RNA is filed under the name Mytilus galloprovincialis (Mediterranean mussel). Lineage: Eukaryota; Metazoa; Mollusca; Bivalvia; Mytilida; Mytilidae. The record is from RNAcentral.